UAGUCCACGCCCUAAACGAUGGAUACUAGUUGUCGGAGUUCCUAAUUGCUUCGGUAACGUAGCUAACGCAUUAAGUAUCCCGCCUGGGGAUUACGAUCGCAAGAUUAAAACUCAAAGGAAUUGACGGGGGCCCGCACAAGCGGUGGAGCAUGUGGUUUAAUUCGAUGCUACGCGAAAAACCUUACCCAGACUUGACAUCCCGCGCUACCCUGUGAAAGCAGGGGUUCCCUUCGGGGACGCGGUGACAGGUGCUGCAUGGCUGUCGUCAGCUCGUGUUGUGAGAUGUUGGGUUAAGUCCCGCAACGAGCGCAACCCUCGUCACUAGUUACCAUCAUUAAGUUGGGGACUUUAAGGAGACUGCCGGUGUUAAACCGGAGGAAGGCGGGGAUGACGUCAAGUCCUCAUGGCCCUUACGGGUAGGGCUACACACGUACUACAAUGGCAGAAACAAACCGAAGCGAUAUUGCGAGAUGGAGCUAAACGGUAAAACACUGUCUCAGUCCGGAUUGAAGUCUGCAACUCGACUUCA
RNAcentral lists this ribosomal RNA (529 nucleotides) under uncultured bacterium. RNAcentral's name for it is "bacterial SSU rRNA". It matches the Rfam family "Bacterial small subunit ribosomal RNA", at positions 791 to 1320 of the family's 1533-position model. The record is from RNAcentral.